Long non-coding RNA from Panicum virgatum (switchgrass), 2186 nucleotides. RefSeq lists it as uncharacterized. The record is from RefSeq and is a predicted model, not a curated record. Lineage: Eukaryota; Viridiplantae; Streptophyta; Magnoliopsida; Poales; Poaceae. The transcript has 2 exons.
UUCGGUUGGAGUGCACAGAAAAGUAAAGGGUUAAAAUCUAGAUGAGAGAUCCUCAUAUAGAAAAAUAGAGCUUCAAAUUUGAGAGCUCGGUUGGGGUUGCCCUAACAUCCCUCCUCCUUCGGAACCAGCUUGACCCCAACCUGGAGUGUGAGGAAAUUGUUGACGGAGAGCUUCUUCAUCUUCCCAUGUCGACAGUUCCACAGGCCAUUGCGACCUGUGGAUGAGCACAGAGAUGAUGGUACUAUCGUGCCGUUGUAUAAGGCAACGAUCGAGUACCAUUUGAGGAACCUGCAGGUGAUGAGUGGGAUCAGGAAACUCAGGACUUACCAGAGUAUGAGGUUGCACUGCCUUCUUCUCUAUCUCUGCUCCUAAAAAUUCCCUAAGCGGGGUGCGAUCUUCCCCGUGCGCCCGCCGCCAUCGUCGCCGUUGUCCCCGUAUCUCCUCCCGACUCCCUCAAAUCUCUCCCCCAAAUCAGACCCUCACCGGCCUGUGUGCGCCGCCGCCGCCGCCGCCGCCGCUGCCUCCUCGAUGACUCUCGCGCCCGUCCGAUUGGUGCCUUCCGUCGUGCGUCUCGCGGUGCGAUCUCCCACCCAUCGGUCUUCGUUCAGCCUCUGAAACCCGUCCGUCCGAUCGGUGCCGUCCCGCCGCUCGCUCCCUCUCCCCGUCCGAUCUUUGGUUCCGUCGCUUGCUCCCUCCUCCCCGUCCAAUCCCCUCCCUCUCCAACACCGCUCGCCCGCGCCAGCAGCCGCGGCCGCCCUCGCCCGCGCCGUCAGUCACCGCGCGCUCCGCCCUGCACGGUUGCACCGCUCUCUCCCUCAGCCCCGAAACCUAGGUCGUCUUCUCCAUCUCCGUCUUGGGUCGCCGGAGGCCGCCGGGGUCCGGAUCCACCCUCUCCCUCGCGGGAUCUACGCCUCCCUUGGCCGGAUCUGCCUCGACGUAGUGUUCCUUCAUCUGGGCGGCAAUCGCUCACGAGGAGGCGCUGGCCGGCCGCGCGGCAGGCCGGUGUUACCUCUGUGCCGCGCUCGCGUGCGCGGAGGCGCUGGCCGGCUGGACGUGGCCCCGGUGCCCGGAACCUGCCCAGGGGCGCCUCUCUGCCAGCCUCCUCUACGGGCGUCGUGCACGUGGAGGCCACGGCCGGCCUCUCAACCUCAUCGGCUCCGCCAUCUUCCUUGCCGGGACCCUCAGCCUCGAGGAGGAGAACAAGGUGCACAUGAUAUGAUCCGGUUGUCGCCGGAGGAGAGCAUGCUGGUGUGCUACGGCCUUCUCUACCACCACAACGAGCUCUGGGACCUCAAAUCAUGCCCUUCGAUCAUAGUGCCUUCUCCACAGUGUACGCCUCUGGUAAAGAAUAGACAAAAUCGAUUUUUCUGCCCAUUAUCAUUCCAAUUUCUUUAGCACGUUAGACAGUGCGAAAGUAUUUGCUCUUAUUUGGGCCACUGAUGAUACUAUUGUUCCUAUAGCAUAAAUUUCUAUUUCAGAUACGAUUAAGAGCUUGAGAAUGUUCUGCGGUACACAAUCCACUAUGGGAAAAAAAAUUCUAUUUCAGAUAAAAUUGUGUUCUGCAUUUGUUCCGGUGCUUCCUAUUCAGAGUUGGACCAUUUGCAUUGUCUGCUGUGUUUCGUACCUUGCUUGCACUUCUGAGAAAAAAAAUGUUUCAUGCCUGCUUAUUCAGUCCAAGCAGCUUUUUACUGAAUAUUUGUUGUUGUGGUAAGUUUCCAUUUCAUUAGCGAAGGUUAAUUGUUCAGCACCACUGUAUUCGUAAACAGUGCUUACAAUGUAGAAUGAGUCAUGCCUAUGUACCCAUCAAAAGUGUGAUUUACACGUAAAUGGUCAAGGCAUGUAAAUGAGUCAUGCCUAUGUAGAAUGAUUUACAUGUAAAUUGUCUCGAACAAAUGUAUAUUGAUGCUUGGUAAAGUGCAUGGGGGAGCCCUAAGGGUACUCUUGGUUCCUAUCAAUUUCACAGGUCAUGGCUAAUAAUUGAGCAAUUGAAGGCAAUGGUUUGUGGUAACUAUGCGAGCAGACAAAAGUAGACCAACUCCCCAUAAAGAUCAUGUGUCAUUUCUUGCAUUGACCACGUGAAAAAUUUCAGUGUAUUGUACCAUGAUCAACACCAGGCCCUGAGGAGCCUUUAAUUUCUGAACCAGUAUCAAUUCUAAAUAUAGUUUAUGAUUUAAUUUAGUGUAUUC